UUUUCAUAAAAUUUUGGCUCAAUUGGGUUAAGGAAAUCCCUUUAUCAACACGUAAAUGCUUAAAUUAAAAAAAAUUUGUUGUCCGAUCAAGUGUUUAUCCAUAUGCGGUUAACUUCAUUUUUAGGAUGAAUAAUUUAAUUCAUAUUACGCCAAAGAUAGAUGGUUUUGAUUGCCAAAAAAGAUCUCAUGCAGGCUCAGUUAGUGCAGUAUAACACUUAAACGUCUCUGAAGGCAUAAAAUGCCUUUUGAUCACGAGGUCGUCGAUAUCAAAUGAUCUCCGAUUUUGGUGACAGUGCUAUAAUCGGUAAGACGCGUAAUCCUAAUGGUUCAGAUUGAGUAUUAUAAAUAAUGGCUCGGCAGUUACCUUUACAAUUUAUACUUCUGAUCUAAUUGAUGAUCAACUAAGUCUUAUGUUACACUUAUUGUUGCAGCAGUUACACAACCGCGAAACAAAUCAUGACGAUCAAGACCGUUGAUUUUGUUGCACUUGUCAAAUUAUUCAUUAUCGUAAAUUUGCAGCUCGAUCAAGUUUAGGAAAUUCCUUCAUGGAGACAUGGACUCAUUAGAAAAAUAGUAUUUUCCGUUCGAUGAGUUGUCUAAUUAAAAGCGAUCUCAACUAUAACUCGGUAAGAAUGAUCUAAUCCAUAUUAAAUUCAAGAUGGAUGGUUUUGAUCUUGCAAAAAGACCUCAAGUGUGGCUCAGGUGGUGUGCUAUUAGACUUUAAUGCUUCUGGAAGCAGUAAAACUAUUCCGAUCAUGUGGUCAUUGAUACUGAACGAUCUCCGAUUUUGGUGACAAUUCUAUAAUUAAUAAGACGUGAAAUCCUAACGAUUCAGAUCAAGCAUUAUAAAAAAUAUCCAUGGUGAUAAAAUUUAGAGUUUAUAUGCAAUGGUGGUGUAAUUAAAGCUCACUAUAUUUUUUCCCAAAUUCUCAAAGUAGAUAAUUGCCGACUAAAUUAGGUUCAUUAGUCGGGAAAAUCGUAAUUUUUUUUGCGGGACAAUUGAAAUUUUCGCGAAAAUUGUUGGCGGCAGUCUCUUACCAAAAAAAUCCCUCGAUCAUUUUUGGUAUUCGAUAAUACAAGGUUCCAAAACGCGGAAUCACUGCCCCUUCACUCUCCCACCGUCCCAUGAUUGAAACCCCUCCUCACCUCUCUCUCUCUCUCUCGAAUUCUCGAUCGAUGAAGAAGUUCUUCUCCCCCUUGCCCUCUUCUACUCUCCUCCUCCUCUGUUUUUGUUUGUGCUGUGACACAUGAAAACGAGUAUGUUAGCACCGCUGGUCUCCGCCGUUGGCAAGAGAGAGAUCCCACAAGGAGCAACAACACGUGACAGAUACAACAACCAGGUUGAUUCUCUCUCUACUUAUCUCGCUUUGUCUAUCUCUCCCUCGUUUCCUUCCUCUCUCGCUAUACAUUUAUGCAUACAACCCCUAAUUUCAGAAACCCUAGUUUUUUUGUUGACAAGAAACCAAAUUCAAAAAACCCUUAAUUUUUUGCAGAAAUUAAACCCAAUUUUGAAAUUCAUUGGAGCUUUUGUUUAUUCUGAUUGUUGUUUUGUACAAUUUCUUGGAGUUUCAUUUGAUUGAAGAUCUUCUCACUUGAUUCCGUGGAAGUCCGGUGUCGCUGACGUAACAUUCGUGCUCUGAGAUCUACAAAGGUGUGGCCUUAAAGUGUAAAAUUCUUCAUGAAAGGCGAGGAUGGUGGCGAUGCGUGACGAGGCAGUGUUGGAGCAGGGUGAUGGUGGCUCGAAUAUAUGGUGGGGAUAUCAUAAGGACUGUCAUUGUGACGUUUCCUGCUCGUAGGGAAUAGAUUCUGUACGGAGUUGGUGUUUUUGUAAGAGACGGCAUUUUAAUGGAGUAUCGUGCGGGAUGUUGGUUAUUGACUACGAAGGUCGAAGUUGGGUUUUGGUUGCGGACGUGCUUGGAUUUUUUUUGGUUAUCCGUUUGUUGACGUUGAGUGUCCACGGGGUUUGGAUACAUUUUUUUAUUGAGCUUGGAUUUUUUUUAUUUUCCCCCCGUGGUGGACGUGUUGUUAUUUUGCACUCUAGGAAUUUGGAUACAAGUUUUUUAACUAUUUGGUGAACAUCUCUAUUUAUGAAAGUUUCUAUUUAUUUCUUGAAA
Long non-coding RNA from Rhododendron vialii, 2114 nucleotides. RefSeq lists it as uncharacterized. Lineage: Eukaryota; Viridiplantae; Streptophyta; Magnoliopsida; Ericales; Ericaceae. The transcript has 4 exons. The record is from RefSeq and is a predicted model, not a curated record.